AGAGGUAUCGUAAUUGAAGAGGUUUGGAAAGACCCACCACAGAAGGUAAUAGUCCUGUAUGUUAAACGAGAAGACUUUAGAUAUGAUCCAGAGUACCACGGGACACGUGAAACCCUGUGGGAAGCAGGAGGGACCACCCUCCAAGGCUAAAUACUACCUAGUGACCGAUAGCGUAUAGUACCGUGAGGGAAAGGUGAAAAGAACCCCGGGAGGGGA
Molecule: ribosomal RNA, 216 nt
Filed under: Clostridioides difficile
Lineage: Bacteria; Bacillati; Bacillota; Clostridia; Peptostreptococcales; Peptostreptococcaceae
Description: partial 23S ribosomal RNA
Rfam family: Bacterial large subunit ribosomal RNA
Source: RNAcentral